This 483-nucleotide ribosomal RNA is filed under the name uncultured Roseicyclus sp. Its description in RNAcentral is "bacterial SSU rRNA". It matches the Rfam family "Bacterial small subunit ribosomal RNA", at positions 8 to 498 of the family's 1533-position model. Lineage: Bacteria; Pseudomonadati; Pseudomonadota; Alphaproteobacteria; Rhodobacterales; Roseobacteraceae. The record is from RNAcentral.
AGAGUUUGAUCAUGGCUCAGAACGAACGCUGGCGGCAGGCCUAACACAUGCAAGUCGAACGGACCUUUCGGGGUUAGUGGCGGACGGGUGAGUAACGCGUGGGAACGUACCCUUUGGUUCGGAAUAGCCUCGGGAAACUGGGAGUAAUACCGGAUGUGCUCUUUUGGUGUAGUGCCAAGGGAGGAAAGAUUUAUUGCCAAAGGAUCGGCCCGCGUUGGAUUAGGUAGUUGGUGGGGUAAUGGCCUACCAAGCCGACGAUCCAUAGCUGGUUUGAGAGGAUGAUCAGCCACACUGGGACUGAGACACGGUCCAGACUCCUACGGGAGGCAGCAGUGGGGAAUAUUGGGCAAUGGGCGAAAGCCUGACCCAGCCAUGCCGCGUGAGUGAUGAAGGCCUUCGGGUCGUAAAGCUCUGUGGGGAGGGAAGAAAAUACCUUGGCUAAUAUCCAAGGGAACUGACGGUACCUCCUAGCAAGCACCCCUU